RNAcentral lists this ribosomal RNA (486 nucleotides) under uncultured bacterium. RNAcentral describes it as "partial 16S ribosomal RNA". It matches the Rfam family "Bacterial small subunit ribosomal RNA", at positions 30 to 507 of the family's 1533-position model. The record is from RNAcentral.
AUUGAACGCUGGCGGCAUGCCUUACACAUGCAAGUCGAACGGCAGCACGGGUGCUUGCACCUGGUGGCGAGUGGCGAACGGGUGAGUAAUACAUCGGAACAUGUCCUGUAGUGGGGGAUAGCCCGGCGAAAGCCGGAUUAAUACCGCAUACGAUCUACGGAUGAAAGCGGGGGACCUUCGGGCCUCGCGCUAUAGGGUUGGCCGAUGGCUGAUUAGCUAGUUGGUGGGGUAAAGGCCUACCAAGGCGACGAUCAGUAGCUGGUCUGAGAGGACGACCAGCCACACUGGGACUGAGACACGGCCCAGACUCCUACGGGAGGCAGCAGUGGGGAAUUUUGGACAAUGGGCGAAAGCCUGAUCCAGCAAAGCCGCGUGUGUGAAGAAGGCCUUCGGGUUGUAAAGCACUUUUGUCCGGAAAGAAAUCCUUGGCCCUAAUACGGUCGGGGGAUGACGGUACCGGAAGAAUAAGCACCGGCUAACUACGUG